This 254-nucleotide ribosomal RNA is filed under the name uncultured bacterium. Its description in RNAcentral is "partial 16S ribosomal RNA". It matches the Rfam family "Bacterial small subunit ribosomal RNA", at positions 524 to 776 of the family's 1533-position model. The record is from RNAcentral.
UACGUAGGGGGCUAGCGUUGUCCGGAAUCACUGGGCUUAAAGCGCGUGUAGGCGGCCCGGCACGUCCGUCGCUGAAAGCCCCCGGCUCAACCGGGGAAGGGGCGCGGAUACGACCGGGCUGGAGGGGGGUAGGGGGCGCCGGAACUGCCGGUGGAGCGGUGAAAUGCGUUGAGAUCGGCAGGAACGCCCGUGGCGAAAGCGGGCGCCUGGACCCCACCUGACGCUGAGACGCGAAAGCCAGGGGAGCGAACGGG